GCCAAAGGUGUCUUCAAGCAAAAGGUGAUAACUUUUUAUAAUAUAUUCAAAGCAAGAUUAGAUACCUCAUGAAGGUUGAUAUGAACCAUACAUGCUGAUGCAUAAACCCAUAUGCUUAUGCACAUUUGCUGUUUUCUGCCUUUACAAUAAGUAUGAUUUUAAGGAUAAUUGAUGGUAAAUGAAAAUAUUAUGGAAUGUGAAGCUAACUUUGUAGUAGUCAAGAAGCUAACUUUGUAGUAGUCAA
This 244-nucleotide unclassified non-coding RNA is filed under the name Hevea brasiliensis (rubber tree). The record is from RNAcentral. Lineage: Eukaryota; Viridiplantae; Streptophyta; Magnoliopsida; Malpighiales; Euphorbiaceae.